GAUGAACGCUGGCGGCGUGCCUAAUACAUGCAAGUCGAGCGAACAGACGAGGAGCUUGCUCCUCUGACGUUAGCGGCGGACGGGUGAGUAACACGUGGAUAACCUACCUAUAAGACUGGGAUAACUUCGGGAAACCGGAGCUAAUACCGGAUAAUAUAUUGAACCGCAUGGUUCAAUAGUGAAAGACGGUUUUGCUGUCACUUAUAGAUGGAUCCGCGCCGCAUUAGCUAGUUGGUAAGGUAACGGCUUACCAAGGCAACGAUGCGUAGCCGACCUGAGAGGGUGAUAGGCCACACUGGAACUGAGACACGGUCCAGACUCCUAAGGGAGGCAGCAGUAGGGAAUCUUCCGCAAUGGGAGAAAGCCUGACGGAGCAACGCCGCGUGAGUGAUGAAGGUCUUCGGAUCGUAAAACUCUGUUAUUAGGGAAGAACAAAUGUGUAAGUAACUAUGCACGUCUUGACGGUACCUAAUCAGAAAGCCACGGCUAACUACGUG
Molecule: ribosomal RNA, 497 nt
Filed under: uncultured bacterium
Lineage: Bacteria
Description: partial 16S ribosomal RNA
Rfam family: Bacterial small subunit ribosomal RNA
Source: RNAcentral